GUGAUGAGUCGCUCCACCGCGGCGCCUUCGGGCGGCGAGGAAAGUCCGGGCAACGCAGAGCACCCUGCUUCCUAACGGGAAGGAUGGGCCGUAAGGCUCAGACAGCCAGUGCCACAGAAAACUACCGCCUACGUUGCCUUCGGGCAGCCGGUAAGGGUGAAAAGGUGCGGUAAGAGCGCACCAGCGGCCGGGCGACCGUGUCGGCUGGGUAAACCUCAGGGGUUGAAAGACCAAAUAAGCGGGCACGCUGCUUGGCAACAGGCAGCACCGGGCGGCUCGUCCGGCGUCCGUGGGUAGGUUGAUGGAGCCUUUCGGCAACGACUGGCCUAGAUAAAUGGUGGAGACGCCGAGCUUUCGGGCUUGGCGGACAAAACCCGGCUUACAGACUCAUCACCACC
This 398-nucleotide RNase P RNA is filed under the name Hymenobacter sp. HDW8. Its description in RNAcentral is "RNase P RNA component class A". It matches the Rfam family "Bacterial RNase P class A". From Rfam's summary of the family: Ribonuclease P (RNase P) is a ubiquitous endoribonuclease, found in archaea, bacteria and eukarya as well as chloroplasts and mitochondria. Lineage: Bacteria; Pseudomonadati; Bacteroidota; Cytophagia; Cytophagales; Hymenobacteraceae. The record is from RNAcentral.